GGGUGAGAAUCCCGUCCACCGAUUGACUAAGGUUUCCAGAGGAAGGCUCGUCCGCUCUGGGUUAGUCGGGUCCUAAGCUGAGGCCGACAGGCGUAGGCGAUGGAUAACAGGUUGAUAUUCCUGUACCACCUAUAAUCGUUUUAAUCGAUGGGGGGACGCAGUAGGAUAGGCGAAGCGUGCGAUUGGAUUGCACGUCUAAGCAGUAAGGCUGAGUAUUAGGCAAAUCCGGUACUCAUUAAGGCUGAGCUGUGAUGGGGAGAAGACAUUGUGUCUUCGAGUCGUUGAUUUCACACUGCCGAGAAAAGCCUCUAGAUAGAAAAUAGGUGCCCGUACCGCAAACCGACACAGGUAGUCAAGAUGAGAAUUCUAAGGUGAGCGAGCGAACUCUCGUUAAGGAACUCGGCAAAAUGACCCCGUAACUUCGGGAGAAGGGGUGCUCUUUAGGGUUAACGCCCAGAAGAGCCGCAGUGAAUAGGCCCAAGCGACUGUUUAUCAAAAACACAGGUCUCUGCUAAACCGUAAGGUGAUGUAUAGGGGCUGACGCCUGCCCGGUGCUGGAAGGUUAAGAGGAGUGGUUAGCUUCUGCGAAGCUACGAAUCGAAGCCCCAGUAAACGGCGGCCGUAACUAUAACGGUCCUAAGGUAGCGAAAUUCCUUGUCGGGUAAGUUCCGACCCGCACGAAAGGCGUAACGAUUUGGGCACUGUCUCAACGAGAGACUCGGUGAAAUCAUAGUACCUGUGAAGAUGCAGGUUACCCGCGAC
This 762-nucleotide ribosomal RNA is filed under the name Staphylococcus aureus. RNAcentral describes it as "partial 23S ribosomal RNA". It matches the Rfam family "Bacterial large subunit ribosomal RNA", at positions 1319 to 2076 of the family's 2925-position model. The record is from RNAcentral. Lineage: Bacteria; Bacillati; Bacillota; Bacilli; Caryophanales; Staphylococcaceae.